This 254-nucleotide ribosomal RNA is filed under the name uncultured bacterium. RNAcentral describes it as "partial 16S ribosomal RNA". It matches the Rfam family "Bacterial small subunit ribosomal RNA", at positions 524 to 776 of the family's 1533-position model. The record is from RNAcentral.
CACGUAGGGUGCGAGCGUUGUCCGGAAUUAUUGGGCGUAAAGAGCUCGUAGGCGGUGUGUCGCGUCGGCCGUGAAAACUUGGGGCUUAACUCUGAGCUUGCGGUCGAUACGGGCAUCACUGGAGUUCGGCAGGGGAGACUGGAAUUCCUGGUGUAGCGGUGAAAUGCGCAGAUAUCAGGAGGAACACCGGUGGCGAAGGCGGGUCUCUGGGCCGAUACUGACGCUGAGGAGCGAAAGUGUGGGGAGCGAACAGG